ACGGGGGGUGCGAGCGUUGUCCGGAAUCACUGGGCGUAAAGGGCGCGUAGGCGGCGGGGGAAGUCCAUGGUGAAAGCUCGCGGCUCAACUGCGAGUCGGCUACGGAUACUCUUUCGCUCGAGCACUGUAGAGGCAGAUGGAAUUCCGGGUGUAGCGGUGGAAUGCGUAGAGAUCGGGAAGAACAUCAGUGGCGAAGGCGUUCUGCUGGGCCGUUGCUGACACUGAGGCGCGACAGCGUGGGGAGCAAACGGGA
RNAcentral lists this ribosomal RNA (253 nucleotides) under uncultured prokaryote. RNAcentral describes it as "partial 16S ribosomal RNA". It matches the Rfam family "Bacterial small subunit ribosomal RNA", at positions 525 to 777 of the family's 1533-position model. The record is from RNAcentral.